Molecule: long non-coding RNA, 672 nt
Organism: Chinchilla lanigera (long-tailed chinchilla)
Lineage: Eukaryota; Metazoa; Chordata; Mammalia; Rodentia; Chinchillidae
Exons: 3
Source: RefSeq, a predicted model, not a curated record
GAACUGUCCCACCGGUGAGGCGCAGAGCCAAGGGGAACUACCAUAGACUGCAUCUGGAGUCAACGAUAAACGCCAACUGGCCUCAUCGUAUGAAGAUAUAAUUCUAAAUAUUUGGACCAGACUUUCUUGCGCCCCUGCCUCUGAGGAACUGAGUGCUGGCAUAGUUCCACUGAAAAAAAAAACACCCAUUUACAAGAGAGGAUAUCAGAAAUAUACAUCCUUUCAUCCGUGCCCCACAGGCUACAUGGAAAGAGAGAGCACCAGCUGUUUUUCUCAUGGAAAUAGUGUAAGAAGAGUUUGGAAGCAUGUGUGAUGUGAAUCUCAUCAGAUUCAGAAAGAAGUUUAUAAUAAGUUAGCAUUGAGAAGAAAAUAAAUUGCUUUUAUUGUAUAAGGGAACCAUGUUAUAAAAGCUAAAACCAUUGAGUAACGUAUGUGAUAACUUUGAAAUAAUGUUUUCCAACUCUGAUACCCUUCAAUUUGGCUAGAAUAAUGUUAUACCUUUUUAAAGUUUAUAUUAUGAUGUUCCAUUCUCUUUCUGACCUUGGGUUAAUUAACCCAUCAAAAGUCAUAUGGACUGAUUUCCUUCAAUGUACUAUAAUGUAUUUUUAUCCAUCUGCAUGCUAUUAUGUAACCUCAGAAUAAAGAAGCCAUAUCGCUGUUGAUAUAUUCCAC